Molecule: ribosomal RNA, 412 nt
Filed under: bacterium enrichment culture clone ALO1_GLFRUDD03G9BC5
Lineage: Bacteria
Description: bacterial SSU rRNA
Rfam family: Bacterial small subunit ribosomal RNA
Source: RNAcentral
GAGUUUGAUCAUGGCUCAGAUUGAACGCUGGCGGCAUGCCUUACACAUGCAAGUCGAACGGCAGCACGGGAGCUUGCUCCUGGUGGCGAGUGGCGAACGGGUGAGUAAUGCAUCGGAACGUAUCCUGGAGUGGGGGAUAACGUAGCGAAAGUUACGCUAAUACCGCAUAUUCUGUGAGCAGGAAAGCGGGGGACCUUCGGGCCUCGCGCUCUUGGAGCGGCCGAUGUCGGAUUAGCUAGUUGGUGAGGUAAAGGCUCACCAAGGCGACGAUCCGUAGCAGGUCUGAGAGGAUGAUCUGCACACUGGAACUGAGACACGGUCCAGACUCCUACGGGAGGCAGCAGUGGGGAAUUUUGGACAAUGGGGGCAACCCUGAUCCAGCCAUGCCGCGUGAGUGAAGAAGGCCUCGGUU